GAUGAACGCUGACAGAAUGCUUAACACAUGCAAGUCCACUUGAACUUCGGUUUGGGUGGCGGACGGGUGAGUAACGCGUAAAGAACUUGCCUCACAGAUAGGGACAACAUUUGGAAACGAAUGCUAAUACCUGAUAUUAUGGUUAUAUGGCAUCGUAUAAUUAUGAAAGCUAUAUGCGCUGUGAGAGAGCUUUGCGUCCCAUUAGCUAGUUGGAGAGGUAACGGCUCACCAAGGCGAUGAUGGGUAGCCGGCCUGAGAGGGUGAUCGGCCACAAGGGGACUGAGACACGGCCCUUACUCCUACGGGAGGCAGCAGUGGGGAAUAUUGGACAAUGGACCAAGAGUCUGAUCCAGCAAUUCUGUGUGCACGAUGAAGUUUUUCGGAAUGUAAAGUGCUUUCAGUUGGGAAGAAAAAAAUGACGGUACCAACAGAAGAAGUGACGGCUAAAUACGUG
This 454-nucleotide ribosomal RNA is filed under the name uncultured bacterium. Its description in RNAcentral is "partial 16S ribosomal RNA". It matches the Rfam family "Bacterial small subunit ribosomal RNA", at positions 28 to 507 of the family's 1533-position model. The record is from RNAcentral.